AAUUCUCAACCUUCCAGCUUUCUUUUAUUAGCUUGGUUUGGCUUGGAUGUGGGUGUUGCAGGCUUCAUUAAUGAGGUCAGCUCUCCUUAAAUGCAUUAGCUGAACUUUUGUGGACCGUCUAUUGGUGUGAUAAUUAUCUACGCCGUGGAUGUGAAGCAGCUAUAUAUGAAGUUCAGCUUCUAACUGUCCAUUGACUUGGACAAUUUUUGACA
This 212-nucleotide unclassified non-coding RNA is filed under the name uncultured Agaricales. Its description in RNAcentral is "sequence contains ITS2". The record is from RNAcentral. Lineage: Eukaryota; Fungi; Basidiomycota; Agaricomycetes; Agaricales.